This 201-nucleotide unclassified non-coding RNA is filed under the name Conocybe vinaceobrunnea. RNAcentral describes it as "partial internal transcribed spacer 2". Lineage: Eukaryota; Fungi; Basidiomycota; Agaricomycetes; Agaricales; Bolbitiaceae. The record is from RNAcentral.
AAUUCUCAACCUCAUCAGUUUUGCUAUGAGACUCUGUGUGAGGCUUGGAUGUGGGGGAUUCUGCAGGCUGCCUCAGUGCGGUCUGCUCCCCUGAAAUGCAUUAGCGAGUUCACUGAGCUCCGUCUAUUGGUGUGAUAAUUAUCUACGCCGUGGAUUGGGCUUAGACUAGCUUCUAACCGUCCGCAAGGACAAUCUUUGACA